CCUUGCGCUCACUGUCCACGAUGGCGUCCCCAUGCCUUUCCAGCUGCCCCCAGGCGUCUCCAACGAAGCCCAGUUUGUGUUCACCAUCCAGAGCAUCGUCAUGGCACAGAAGCUCAAGGGGACCCUGUCCUUCAUUGCCAAGAACGACGAGGGUGCGACCCAGGAGAAGCUGGAUUUCAGGCUGCACUUCAGCUGCAGCUCCUACUUGAUCACCACGCCCUGCUACAGCGACGCCUUUGCCAAGUUGCUGGAGUCUGGGGACCUGAGCAUGAGCUCAGUCAAAGUCGACGGCAUUCGGAUGUCCUUCCAGAACCUUCUGGCGAAGAUCUGUUUUCACCAUAAUUUUUCUGUUAUGGAGCGAGUGGACUCCUGCGCCUCCAUGUACAGCAGCUCCAUCCAGGGCCACCACGUCUGCCUCCUGGUGAAAAAGGGUGAGAACUCUUUCUCAGUCGAUGGGAAGUGCAGCGACUCCACACUGCUUAGCAACUUGUUAGAAGAGAUGAAGGCGAUGCUGGCCAAGUGUUGAGAGCUGCCUGCGAGCCCUGCCCACCCCGCGGAGCACGCGCCCAGGGACCGCAGCCCUGAGUCUCACCUCUCAUCGGUUGUGUGUACUGUACCCAAGCCUGAGUGUUAAUUUAACUCCAUGUCGUCCUCUGUGUAGACACUGGAAGUCAUAUGUUGCGUUAAAUUACCUGACCAUCCUUUUUUACUGUGACUCUUCCCGCUCUCUUUGGCAAGAAGUCCCCUUCUUGUCCCCAAAUCAGCAAGGGACUCCCCUGCCUGGGUCCAUGCCCUGCCCUGUGCUGGGGGCCAAGUCCUUGAAUGUGGCUUCAGGGGCUCCUGGCCUGGGCCAGGACCUUAUGGGCACCACGUGGGGGGCACUUGGUGGACAGGGUGGGACUGACAUGGCCUUCUCUGGGGCUGCCUGUUUUUGUCCCAAACACCUUGACGGUGGUGUCCAGGGGACGGGAAGGAAGGGCCGUUGUCGCCAAGGUUCCCUCCCAGAACCCGCAGUGGGAAAGCAGUCCUGUCGGCCAUUGUUCCUUGUCACUGUGCUCGUGGGCUGGUGGCCAGACCCUGGGAUGCCAGGCUGUGGGCAAGGAGGGGACGGGGCACCCAGAGAGGCUGCAGUCAGAACCAUGGCGGGGUUGGAGGCAGCCUCUCUGCCACCAUUCUUCCUGGUCAGCAGAAGUGUCUCUCAGAGGGCUUGGGUUCGGGGUGGGGGCAUGUGGUCACGGUCUACCGCUUGCCACUGUAUGCGCCACGGUUGCCCCGCGUCCUUCCCAGCACCCUCAGGAAGGCCCGGGCAGGGACUGGGAGCAGCAGACCCAGGCCUUUGGCCUGGCGUGGAGUGUGCCCAGUGCCCUUGGCAGGACCUGUGAGAGCUGCCCCACCGGCAGAGCCCCCACCAGGUAAGCAGGGGGACCCCGCUCACUCCCCACAGCCAGUGUGGGCACAGGACUGACCCUUCCUCAGAGAUGAAAUUUUAUCUUUCCUUUUGAUGAAAACUGUCACUUUAGCAUGUAAUCUGUUACAGAAUCCUGUGCAGUGAUUCUAGGAUUUGAAAUUGUAUGAUGUGUUACAUAAGAAUUUAUUUGCUAUCGACAUUCCUGUAUAAAGAAGAGAGAGACAUAAUCACGCUGCUGUCAUGAUUUUGUGUCAAGAUGAUCCAAUAAAGUUGUAAAACAGGCAAAAAAAAAAAAA
Sapajus apella (tufted capuchin) is the source of this 1704-nucleotide RNA transcript. It is a transcript of the gene named AP-3 complex subunit delta-1 pseudogene, with no coding region annotated. Lineage: Eukaryota; Metazoa; Chordata; Mammalia; Primates; Cebidae. The record is from RefSeq and is a predicted model, not a curated record. The transcript has a single exon.